RNAcentral lists this ribosomal RNA (735 nucleotides) under Cursorius temminckii (Temminck's courser). RNAcentral describes it as "partial 12S ribosomal RNA". It matches the Rfam family "Bacterial small subunit ribosomal RNA", at positions 499 to 1526 of the family's 1533-position model. Lineage: Eukaryota; Metazoa; Chordata; Aves; Charadriiformes; Glareolidae. The record is from RNAcentral.
AAUCUUGUGCCAGCCACCGCGGUCACACAAGAGACUCAAAUUAAUUGUGUACGGCGUAAAGAGUUGUCACUAUGAUAUCACAGCAACUAGAGUCAAAGUGCAACUAAGCUGUCAUAAGCUCAAGGUGCAUCUAAGUCCGCCCUUAAAAUGACUCUAGCGCCCAUUGAUUAAUUUAACCCCACGAAAGCCAGGACACAAACUGGGAUUAGAUACCCCACUAUGCCUGGCCCUAAAUCUUGAUGCUUGUCAUACCAAAGCGUCCGCCUGAGAACUACGAGCACAAACGCUUAAAACUCUAAGGACUUGGCGGUGCCCCAAACCCACCUAGAGGAGCCUGUUCUAUAAUCGAUAACCCACGAUACACCCGACCACCUCUUGCCAAAACAGCCUAUAUACCGCCGUCGCCAGCUCACCUUAAUUGAAAGGACAGCAGUGAGCACAACAGCCCAAACCCGCUAGUAAGACAGGUCGAGGUAUAGCCUAUGGGGUGGGAGAAAUGGGCUACAUUUUCUAAAAUAGAAAACCUACGAAAGAGGGCAUGAAACUGGCCCCCGGAAGGCGGAUUUAGCAGUAAAGCAGGACAAUAAAGCCCCCUUUAAGUUGGCCCUGAGGCACGUACAUACCGCCCGUCACCCUCCUCACAAGCCACAAACCCCUUAUAACUAAUACAUCACACGGCUGAAGAUGAGGUAAGUCGUAACAAGGUAAGUGUACCGGAAGGUGCACUUAGCACAC